This 253-nucleotide ribosomal RNA is filed under the name uncultured bacterium. RNAcentral's name for it is "partial 16S ribosomal RNA". It matches the Rfam family "Bacterial small subunit ribosomal RNA", at positions 524 to 776 of the family's 1533-position model. The record is from RNAcentral.
UACGGAGGGUGCAAGCGUUAUCCGGAUUCACUGGGUUUAAAGGGUGCGUAGGCGGGUUGGUAAGUCCGUGGUGACAUCUCCAAGCUUAACUUGGAAACUGCCGUGGAUACUAUCAAUCUUGAAUAUCGUGGAGGUGAGCGGAAUAUGUCAUGUAGCGGUGAAAUGCUGAGAUAUGACAUAGAACACCCAUUGCGAAGGCAGCUGGCUACACGAAUAUUGACACUGAUGCACGAAAGCGUGGGGAGCAAACAGG